This 858-nucleotide small RNA is filed under the name Pongo abelii (Sumatran orangutan). Its description in RNAcentral is "retained intron". The record is from RNAcentral. Lineage: Eukaryota; Metazoa; Chordata; Mammalia; Primates; Hominidae.
AGCACAGAAAGGGGGUUCGUGGGGGAGGGUAGAAGCCUGGGGGAGGAGCUUGAGUCCAGACAGUGCCUGGGUACUGCCAGACAUCGGGCCCAGGUCUCUGGGGUUGUCUUACCGCAGUGAGUACCACGCGGUACUACAGAGACCGGCUGCCGGUGUGCCUGGCAGGCGGAGCCGCAUCAGCGGCCUCGAGGAAUGGAAGCGGAGAACGCGAGCAGAGGCUCCAAAAGGAAGAAAAAGAAAACCCAGAACAACAGAACCAAAACAACCAGUGGAACCCAAAAAACCUGUUGAGUCAAAAAAAUCUGGCAAGUCUGCAAAAUCAAAAGAAAAACAAGAAAAAAUUACAGACACAUUUAAAGUAAAAAGAAAAGUAGACCGUUUUAAUGGUGUUUCAGAAGCUGAACUUCUGACCAAGACUCUCCCUGAUAUUUUGACCUUCAAUCUGGACAUUGUCAUUGUAAGAUCUUUGUCCUCGUUGGAUUUUAUAAGUAGUAUUGGGGGAUCAGCUUUACUUAACAGUUGUCCUUGCAAAUAGCAUUUUGCUGAAAAGGACCAUUUCUAAGAAUCCUUUUGGUGGUAAAUGGUGUCACCCUCAUGAGGUUGUGUUAUAUGAGAGUGUUUAAGAGGGUGGGCUCCAAAUUUAGACUGUCUGGGUUCAAAUCCUGUCACAAGUAUAAUCUUGGAUAAGCCUUAUUAACCUUUCUAAACACUGGUUUUCUCAUUGAUAAACCAAGGGUGAUAAUACCACCCCCCGAUAGGGUUGCAAGUAAAUGAGAUAAUCCAUGUGAAUCACUUCAACUGAAUGAUACCUGUGGAGACUUCAUGAAUGGUAGCACUGAUUUUAAGCUCUUAUUUUUC